UGUAACAUUGAAUAUUCAUCCAGCAGACAGCGUCAAGCGCGAGCUUUGCGUAAGCAAAAGCAAAAGUGCUUCACGCGUUAAAAAAAGCCAACACAGACGUGUUGAGCGGAUGAGUGUUGAAUGUUACAUGCUGGAUAGCGGCGGACGGGUGAGUAACGCGUGGGCAACCUGCCUUGUACAGGGGGAUAACACAGGGAAACUUGUGCUAAUACCGCAUAACAUCACUGAGUGGCAUCACUUGAUGAUCAAAGGAGCAAUCCGGUAUAAGAUGGGCCCGCGUCCGAUUAGCUAGUUGGUGGUGUAACGGACCACCAAGGCGACGAUCGGUAGCCGAACUGAGAGGUUGAUCGGCCACAUUGGGACUGAGACACGGCCCAGACUCCUACGGGAGGCAGCAGUGGGGAAUAUUGCACAAUGGAGGAAACUCUGAUGCAGCAACGCCGCGUGAAGGAUGAAGGUCUUCGGAUUGUAAACUUCUUUAGCCAGGGACGAAUAAUGACGGUACCUGGAAAAUAAGCCACGGCUAACUACGUGCCAGCAGCCGCGGUAAUACGUAGGUGGCAAGCGUUGUCCGGAAUUACUGGGUGUAAAGGGCGUGUAGGCGGGAAGGUAAGUCAGAUGUGAAAUUCCGGGGCUCAACCCCGGCACUGCAUCUGAAACUAUCUUUCUUGAGUGCUGGAGAGGAAAGCGGAAUUCCUAGUGUAGCGGUGAAAUGCGUAGAUAUUAGGAGGAACACCAGUGGCGAAGGCGGCUUUCUGGACAGUAACUGACGCUGAGGCGCGAAAGCGUGGGGAG
This 795-nucleotide ribosomal RNA is filed under the name uncultured Clostridia bacterium. RNAcentral describes it as "bacterial SSU rRNA". The stretch from base 81 to 795 matches the Rfam family "Bacterial small subunit ribosomal RNA", at positions 1 to 768 of the family's 1533-position model. Lineage: Bacteria; Bacillati; Bacillota; Clostridia. The record is from RNAcentral.